GGAGGCAGCAGUGAGGAAUAUUGGGCAAUGGAGGCAACUCUGACCCAGCCAUGCCGCGUGCAGGAAGACUGCCCUAUGGGUUGUAAACUGCUUUUAUACAGGAAGAAACACUGCUACGUGUAGCAGCUUGACGGUACUGUAAGAAUAAGGACCGGCUAACUCCGUGCCAGCAGCCGCGGUAAUACGGAGGGUCCGAGCGUUAUCCGGAAUCAUUGGGUUUAAAGGGUCCGCAGGCGGUCAAUUAAGUCAGAGGUGAAAUCCCAUAGCUUAACUAUGGAACUGCCUUUGAUACUGGUUGACUUGAGUCAUAUGGAAGUAGAUAGAAUGUGUAGUGUAGCGGUGAAAUGCAUAGAUAUUACACAGAAUACCGAUUGCGAAGGCAGUCUACUACGUAUGUACUGACGCUGAGGGACGAAAGCGUGGGGAGCGAACAGGAUUAGAUACCCUGGUAGUCCACGCCGUAAACGAUGGAUACUAGUUGUUGGGCAUUAGCUCAGUGACUAAGCGAAAGUGAUAAGUAUCCCACCUGGGG
RNAcentral lists this ribosomal RNA (532 nucleotides) under uncultured Polaribacter sp. RNAcentral describes it as "bacterial SSU rRNA". It matches the Rfam family "Bacterial small subunit ribosomal RNA", at positions 344 to 878 of the family's 1533-position model. The record is from RNAcentral. Lineage: Bacteria; Pseudomonadati; Bacteroidota; Flavobacteriia; Flavobacteriales; Flavobacteriaceae.